Molecule: transfer RNA, 73 nt
Filed under: Ovis aries (sheep)
Lineage: Eukaryota; Metazoa; Chordata; Mammalia; Artiodactyla; Bovidae
Rfam family: tRNA
About the family: Transfer RNA (tRNA) molecules are approximately 80 nucleotides in length. Their secondary structure includes four short double-helical elements and three loops (D, anti-codon, and T loops).
Source: Rfam by way of RNAcentral
UUCCUGGUGGUCCAGUGGUUAGGACCCUGUGCUUCCAAAGCAAGGGACUCAGGUUUGAUCCCUGAUCAGGGAA